AGCAUCUGUCGUUUGCAUAGAAACACCACCUACGGCUUUCUAUAAAAAUACCUAAACCGUCAUUCCCACGAAAGUGGGAAUCCAGAACGCAAAAUCUCAAGAAACCGUUUUCCCGAUAAGUUUCCGUACCGACAGACCUAGAUUCCCGCCUGCGCGGGAAUGACGGCGGAGCGGUUUCUGUUGCUCCCGAUAAAUUCCUAAAACUUAAAAUUUCAUCAUUCCCACAAAAACAGAAAACCAAAAACAGCAACCUAAAAUUCGUCAUUCCCACGAAAGUGGGAAUCCAGAACGCAAAAUCUCAAGAAACCGUUUUACCCGAUAAGUUUCCGUACCGACAGACCUGGAUUCCCGCCUGCGCGGGAAUGACGAAGCUAUCCUUUUGGCCGAAGGUCAAAAAUCAGCCGUCACAGAGUAUUACCUGAAUCACGGCAUAUGGCCCGGCGACAACAGUUCUGCCGGCGUGGCAACCUCCUCUAAAAUCAAAGGAAAAUAUGUUAAGGAAGUUACAGUCGCAAACGGCGUCGUUACCGCCACAAUGCUUUCAAGCGGCGUAAAC
This 556-nucleotide ribosomal RNA is filed under the name Neisseria meningitidis 80179. Its description in RNAcentral is "partial 16S ribosomal RNA". The record is from RNAcentral. Lineage: Bacteria; Pseudomonadati; Pseudomonadota; Betaproteobacteria; Neisseriales; Neisseriaceae.